This 371-nucleotide long non-coding RNA is filed under the name Bos indicus x Bos taurus (hybrid cattle). RNAcentral describes it as "lncRNA (ENSBIXG00000023088.1)". Lineage: Eukaryota; Metazoa; Chordata; Mammalia; Artiodactyla; Bovidae. The record is from RNAcentral.
AUGGCUACCCACUCCAGUAUCCUUGCCUGGAGAAUCCCAUGGACAGAGGAGCUUGGUGGGCUACAGUCCAUAGGGUCACAAAGAGUGGACACGACUGAACGACUGAGCACGCACAUCGGAAGGCAUGGGCCUCUUUCUGGAUCUCCUGUCAGCAUUGUUGGAACAUCUGAAGAGAUUCCAGGGAAUCAUCCCACUCCCGAGCAGAUUCACCCGAAAUAUGAAAGAAGCAGGAGAUAUAACCUAUAACAAGGAGAAAAACAAGAAAUUCCCUUUUUGUUUUGUCUGGAGGAUAUGUGUCCAGCUAUGGCUCCUGGAUCUAAGGGGAGGAAGUAAGUUGGUAAGGGAAUAUCUCUGUGUUUAGUGUGCAUAUU